GAUGAAGAACGUAGCGAAAUGCGAUACGUAGUGUGAAUUGCAGAAUUCAGUGAAUCAUCGAAUCUUUGAACGCACAUUGCACCUCUCGGUAUUCCGGGAGGUAUGCCUGUUCGAGCGUCAUUUGUACCCUCAAGCUCUGCUUGGUGUUGGGUGUUUGUUCCGCCUCUGUGUGUGAACUCGCCUCAAAACAAUUGGCAGCCGGCGUACUUGUUUCGGAGCGCAGCACAUUUUGCGAUCCAGAUCAACGUACAGCGGCAUCCAUGAAGCCUUAUUUAACGCUCUUGACCUCGGAUCAGGUAGGGAUACCCGCUGAACUUAAGCAUAUCAAUAAGCGGAGGA
This 339-nucleotide unclassified non-coding RNA is filed under the name soil metagenome. RNAcentral's name for it is "partial contains 5.8S ribosomal RNA, internal transcribed spacer 2, and large subunit ribosomal RNA". The stretch from base 1 to 120 matches the Rfam family "5.8S ribosomal RNA", at positions 35 to 154 of the family's 154-position model. The record is from RNAcentral.